AGAGAAUCUGUUUUCUCAUUGGCUACUGGAAGCAGAGAAUCUGUUUUCUCAUUGGCUACUGGAAGCAGAGAAUCUGUUUUCUCAUUGGCUACUGGAAGCAGAGAAUCUGUUUUCUCAUUGGCUACUGGAAGCAGAGAAUCUGUUUUCUCGUUGGCUACUGGAAGCAGAGAAUCUGUUUUCUCAUUGGCUACUGGAAGCAGAGAAUCUGUUUUCUCACUGGCUACUGGAAGCAGAGAAUCUGUUUUCUCAUUGUCUACUGGAAGCAGAGAAUCGGUUUUCUCAUAGGCUACUGGAAGCAGAGAAUCGGUUUUCUCAUAGGCUACUGGAAGCAGAGAAUCGGUUUUCUCAUAGGCUACUGGAAGCACUCAGAAUGUGGCUGAUUGUGCAUCCCAAAUGGCACCCUAUUCCCUUGGUAGUGCACUACUUUUGAACAGGACCCAUAGGGAAUAGGGUGCACUAUUUUAGAACAGGACACAUAGGGAAUAGGGUGCACUACUUUAGAACAGGACCCAUAGGGAAUAGGGUGCACUAUUUUAGAACAGGACACAUAGGGAAUAGGGUGCACUAUUUUAGAACAGGACACAUAGGGAAUAGGGUGCACUACUUUAGAACAGGACACAUAGGGAAUAGGGUGCACUAUUUUAGAACAGGACACAUAGGGAAUAGGGUGCACUACUUUAGACCAGGACACAUAGGGAAUAGGGUGCACUACUUUUGAACAGGACCCAUAGGGAAUAGGGUGCACUACUUUUGAACAGGACACAUAGGGAAUAGGGUGCACUACUUUUGAACAGGACCCAUAGGGAAUAGGGUGCACUACUUUUGAACAGGACCCAUAGGGAAUAGGGUGCACUACUUUUGAACAGGACACAUAGGGAAUAGGGUGCACUACUUUAGACCAGGACCCAUAGGGAAUAGGGUGCACUACUUUAGAACAGGACCCAUAGGGAAUAGGGUGCACUACCUUAGACCAGGACACAUAGGGAAUAGGCAUAUUCCAUUAUAAACAAUCUCUGUUUAGAGGUGACCUAGCCCUAUUCCAUUAUAAACAACCUCUGUUUAGAGUUGACCUAGCCCUAUUCCAUUAUAAACAACCUCUGUCUAGAGGUGACCUAGCCCUAUUCCAUUAUAAACAACCUCUGUUUAGAGGUGACCUAGCCCUAUUCCAUUAUAAACAACCUCUGUCUAGAGGUGACCUAGCCCUAUUCCAUUAUAAACAACCUCUGUUUAGAGGUGACCUAGCCCUAUUCCAUUAUAAACAACCUCUGUCUAGAAGUGACCUAGCCCUAUUCCAUUAUAAACAACAAUAUAACUAUGUUUAGAGGUGACCUAGCCCUAUUUCAUUAUAAACAACCUCUGUCUAGAGGUGACCUAGCCCUAUUCCAUUAUAAACA
Molecule: long non-coding RNA, 1394 nt
Organism: Oncorhynchus tshawytscha (Chinook salmon)
Lineage: Eukaryota; Metazoa; Chordata; Actinopteri; Salmoniformes; Salmonidae
Source: Ensembl